This 248-nucleotide ribosomal RNA is filed under the name uncultured bacterium. RNAcentral's name for it is "partial 16S ribosomal RNA". It matches the Rfam family "Bacterial small subunit ribosomal RNA", at positions 524 to 771 of the family's 1533-position model. The record is from RNAcentral.
UACGGAGGGUGCAAGCGUUAUCCGGAUUUACUGGGUUUAAAGGGUGCGUAGGUGGGUCUGUAAGUCAGUGGUGAAAUCUUCGAGCUUAACUCGGAAACUGCCAUUGAUACUAUAGGUCUUGAAUUAUCUGGAGGUGAGCGGAAUAUGUCAUGUAGCGGUGAAAUGCUUAGAUAUGACAUAGAACACCAAUUGCGAAGGCAGCUCACUACGGAUAUAUUGACACUGAGGCACGAAAGCGUGGGGAUCAA